CAGAGGCGGGGGCGCCGCUUCGGGAGAGCGGGCAGUUCUAGGAGGCCGACCUGGAGAGCCUCCCGGUUCCCCUUCCCCUUUUCCCGGACCCCGCGGGGACACCCCCUCGCCGCCACCCGGGCCUCCCCGAGGGCCCAACUGCGGGUCAGGCGGCCCGGGCCAGCCGAAAGGGAAGUGGGGCUACCCCACAGCCAGGCAGCGGGGCUGGGGUCAGACCCGGGAGCCGGAGGUUGGAGACGUGCGACAGUCACCUGCGGGCAGAUUCCAGAGGGGAGACCCAGGGCUGCAGGGGACGCCCCUUCGUGGCAGCUACCCAGCCUCGGCCCACUGCCAGUGUUACGUGGCUGCAUGACCAUACACUUCUGGGUAGAGCCCAGUGGAAGACAAAGAAGACUCAAGGAAUAGCCCUUGAGGGCUCAGGAGCUAUACAGAUGGGAUAGAGGGUGUGAGUGCUGGGAAGCCCCAUCCAUGGCUCGCUGGAGAUUAGAGGCCUGUUAAUCUGAAGACAAAGGAAUGAAGACGAAAACGUUUCUGAAAAUGUGGGUGGAGACACCUGGGCCUUUACAGGGUACGCUCCAGAGCUGCUUCCAGGCAGGGACCCCGGCUGAGAGAAGCCAGAGCCAGAGAGUCGCAGGCUUGCUUGCUCUUAUCUUCCCUCUGCUGGGGGGGUCGAGGGGAGAUCUGGCCCCUCUGCUCUGCCCUCCUGAUUUCCCGUCUAAGGGAUUUAGGAGACUUUUGCCUUUUCCUAAUCUCUCCCUUUGCAGAAUUUCUGCGAAGUCACAAUCCCAUUUCCAGGCAAAGGUGCUUGGUCAUAAAGAUAAUAAAGAUAUUCAUUCAUGAUGGAGGGGAAGUACACAGUGGUUUCAGCUGCCUGUAGGGCUCCACUUACUCAUGGUGUGUGACAGAUGCUGAGCCCUUCCCCAAAUCUCAUGGAUGGGAAGGAAACCUGGCGCCGCGGGGUGGUCGCGGGAAGCCGUGGCAUGGCUUGGUGAACACAGGCUCGCCGACCCGGGGGCGGAUGCUGAGGUUGCCAUUGUUGGUGG
RNAcentral lists this long non-coding RNA (1043 nucleotides) under Homo sapiens (human). RNAcentral describes it as "non-protein coding lnc-PGS1-1:1". The record is from RNAcentral. Lineage: Eukaryota; Metazoa; Chordata; Mammalia; Primates; Hominidae.